GACGAACGCUGGCGGCGUGCUUAACACAUGCAAGUCGAACGGAAAGGCCCUGCUUUUGUGGGGUGCUCGAGUGGCGAACGGGUGAGUAACACGUGAGUAACCUGCCCUUGACUUUGGGAUAACUUCAGGAAACUGGGGCUAAUACCGGAUAGGAGCUCCUGCUGCAUGGUGGGGGUUGGAAAGUUUCGGCGGUUGGGGAUGGACUCGCGGCUUAUCAGCUUGUUGGUGGGGUAGUGGCUUACCAAGGCUUUGACGGGUAGCCGGCCUGAGAGGGUGACCGGCCAACUUGGGACUGAGAUACGGCCCAGACUCCUACGGGAGGCAGGAGUGGGGAAUAUUGCACAAUGGGCGGAAGCCUGAUGCAGCAACGCCGCGUGCGGGAUGACGGCCUUCGGGUUGUAAACCGCUUUCGCCUGUGACGAAGCGUGAGUGACGGUAAUGGGUAAAGAAGCACCGGCUAACUACGUG
RNAcentral lists this ribosomal RNA (468 nucleotides) under uncultured bacterium. Its description in RNAcentral is "partial 16S ribosomal RNA". It matches the Rfam family "Bacterial small subunit ribosomal RNA", at positions 28 to 507 of the family's 1533-position model. The record is from RNAcentral.